Small nuclear RNA from Pipistrellus kuhlii (Kuhl's pipistrelle), 105 nucleotides. The record is from RefSeq and is a predicted model, not a curated record. NCBI's taxonomy places the organism in Eukaryota, Metazoa, Chordata, Mammalia, Chiroptera, Vespertilionidae.
AUAGUUUUGGUAGUACAUAUACUAAAAACUGGAAUGAAGUAGAGAAGAUUAGUGUGGGCCUUACACAAGGAUGACACACAAAUUCAUGAAGUAGUCUAUAUUUUU